UAGUCAAAUCGAUCAAUUCAACCAAAGGUACAUCGUUCUUCAGUCAGACUUUCUAUAUCUCCAUAGACAUCUUUAACUUCGUUUCAGGCAUUCUGAAGUUGCAUCAAAAGGACUUUUAAACCAUACAAAAGGUUGCUAUAGAGUUGCAAAAUAGUAAGACUGAGUCACAACACCAAAAAUUCUGAUCAAAAACUUUAAUUCAAUCCACCA
RNAcentral lists this long non-coding RNA (210 nucleotides) under Elaeis guineensis (African oil palm). Its description in RNAcentral is "long non-coding RNA (EGUI_LNC028778)". The record is from RNAcentral. Lineage: Eukaryota; Viridiplantae; Streptophyta; Magnoliopsida; Arecales; Arecaceae.